GUGCUUGAUCCCACUUGACAAUGGCGUGGCGGGCGCAGGGAAGGAGGGAGUAGGGAGAGGAGAGGAGGCGGAGGAGGAAGCGGCGGCGGAGGAGGUGGAGUGCGGCAGAGGAGGGAGAGACUGGAACGGUGGUGAGCAGCGAGGGCGGUGGGGUCGGAGGAGGAGCAGGAAUGGAGCGAGGUGGCAUCGGCGAGGGUGGAGGCGAGGAGGUCGGCGGCGCGGGUGAGCUAGGAGAGAGGAGCGGGACUGGAGGCACGGGGAGGAGGGAUCAGUGGCAGAGAGCGAGUGCGAGAUCGAAGGAUCGCGAGCUAGGGUUAAGGUUAGGGUUAGGGUUAGGGGUUUUGCAGGGGAGGAGGGAGAGAAGGGAGAGGCGGCUACGCUUCUCGGUGAGGA
RNAcentral lists this long non-coding RNA (393 nucleotides) under Ananas comosus (pineapple). RNAcentral describes it as "long non-coding RNA (ACOM_LNC012338)". Lineage: Eukaryota; Viridiplantae; Streptophyta; Magnoliopsida; Poales; Bromeliaceae. The record is from RNAcentral.